GAUGAGAACGCAGCGAAAUGCGAUAAGUAAUGUGAAUUGCAGAAUUCAGUGAAUCAUCGAAUCUUUGAACGCACAUUGCGCCCGCCAGUAUUCUGGCGGGCAUGCCUGUCUGAGCGUCAUUUCAACCCUCAUGCCCCUAGGGCGUGGUGUUGGGGAUCGGCCAAAGCCCGCGAGGGACGGCCGGCCCCUAAAUCUAGUGGCGGACCCGUCGUGGCCUCCUCUGCGAAGUAGUGAUAUUCCGCAUCGGAGAGCGACGAGCCCCUGCCGUUAAACCCCCAACUUUCCAAGGUUGACCUCAGAUCAGGUAGGAACACCCGCUGAACUUAAGCAUAUCAAUAAGCGGAGGA
Molecule: unclassified non-coding RNA, 347 nt
Filed under: soil metagenome
Description: partial contains 5.8S ribosomal RNA, internal transcribed spacer 2, and large subunit ribosomal RNA
Rfam family: 5.8S ribosomal RNA (bases 5-119)
Source: RNAcentral